UACGGAGGAUGCGAGCGUUAUCCGGAUUUAUUGGGUUCAAAGGGUGCGUAGGCGGACUGUCAAGUCAGCGGUAAAAUUGAGAGGCUCAACCUCUUCCCGCCGUUGAAACUGGUGGUCUUGAGUGGAUGAGAAGUACGCGGAAUGCGUGGUGUAGCGGUGAAAUGCAUAGAUAUCACGCAGAACUUCGAUUGCGAAGGCAGCGUACCGGCAUCCAACUGACGCUGAGGCACGAAAGCGUGGGGAUCAAACAGG
Molecule: ribosomal RNA, 252 nt
Filed under: uncultured bacterium
Lineage: Bacteria
Description: partial 16S ribosomal RNA
Rfam family: Bacterial small subunit ribosomal RNA
Source: RNAcentral